This 886-nucleotide ribosomal RNA is filed under the name uncultured archaeon. Its description in RNAcentral is "bacterial SSU rRNA". It matches the Rfam family "Archaeal small subunit ribosomal RNA", at positions 28 to 922 of the family's 1478-position model. The record is from RNAcentral.
GGGUACUGGGAUGAUCUAAGCAUGCGAGUCAUUGUAGUAAUACAAGGCAGACGGCUCAGUAACGCGUAGUCAACCUACCCUAAGGACGGGGAUAACCUCGGGAAACUGAGAAUAAUACCCGAUAGAACAUAGCUCCUGGAAUGGUUUAUGUUUCAAAUAAUUUAUUGCCCUAGGAUGGGACUGCGGCCUAUCAGUUUGUUGGUGAGGUAAUGGCCCACCAAGACUAUUACAGGUACGGGCUCUGAGAGGAGUGGCCCGGAGAUGGGUACUGAGACACGGACCCAGGCCCUAUGGGGCGCAGCAGGCGAGAAAACUUUGCAAUGUGCGAAAGCACGACAAGGUUAAUCCGAGUGGUUUCUGCUAAAGGAACCUUUUGUCAGUCCUAGAAACACUGAUGAAUAAGGGGUGGGCAAGUUCUGGUGUCAGCCGCCGCGGUAAAACCAGCACCUCAAGUGGUCAGGAUGAUUAUUGGGCCUAAAGCAUCCGUAGCCGGCUUUGUAAGUUUUCGGUUAAAUCCAUGCGCUCAACGUAUGGGCUGCCGGGAAUACUGCAAAGCUAGGGAGUGGGAGAGGUAGACGGUACUCGGUAGGAAGGGGUAAAAUCCUUUGAUCUAUUGAUGACCACCUGUGGCGAAGGCGGUCUACCAGAACACGUCCGACGGUGAGGGAUGAAAGCUGGGGGAGCAAACCGGAUUAGAUACCCGGGUAGUCCCAGCUGUAAACUAUGCAAACUCAGUGAUGCAUUGGCUUGAUGCCAAUGCAGUGCUGCAGGGAAGCCGUUAAGUUUGCCGCCUGGGAAGUACGUACGCAAGUAUGAAACUUAAAGGAAUUGGCGGGGGAGCACCACAAAGGGUGAAGCCUGCGGUUCAAUUGGAGUCAACGCCGGG